CCUACGGGUGGCAGCAGUGGGGAAUAUUGCACAAUGGGCGCAAGCCUGAUGCAGCCAUGCCGCGUGUGUGAAGAAGGCCUUCGGGUUGUAAAGCACUUUCAGCGGGGAGGAAGGCGUUAAGGUUAAUAACCUUGUCGAUUGACGUUACCCGCAGAAGAAGCACCGGCUAACUCCGUGCCAGCAGCCGCGGAAAUACGGAGGGUGCAAGCGUUAAUCGGAAUUACUGGGCGUAAAGCGCACGCAGGCGGUCUGUCAAGUCGGAUGUGAAAUCCCCGGGCUCAACCUGGGAACUGCAUUCGAAACUGGCAGGCUAGAGGCUUGUAGAGGGGGGUAGAAUUCCAGGUGUAGCGGUGAAAUGCGUAGAGAUCUGGAGGAAUACCGGUGGCGAAGGCGGCCCCCUAGACAAAGACUGACGCUCAGGUGCGAAAGCGUGGGGAGCAAACAGGAUUAGAUACCCUAGUAGUC
This 465-nucleotide ribosomal RNA is filed under the name uncultured Klebsiella sp. RNAcentral describes it as "bacterial SSU rRNA". It matches the Rfam family "Bacterial small subunit ribosomal RNA", at positions 338 to 795 of the family's 1533-position model. The record is from RNAcentral. Lineage: Bacteria; Pseudomonadati; Pseudomonadota; Gammaproteobacteria; Enterobacterales; Enterobacteriaceae.